GGGAGAACGGGGGGGGGGGGCGAAAGGCGAGAGAAAGAGACCGAGGAAAAAUGGGAGGGGCGAGAAAGAAAUAACUCCCAUUUUUCCUCGCUCUCUUUCUCUUGCCUUUGCCCCCUCCCCCCCUAAAUAGCG
This is a non-coding RNA of Paramuricea clavata, 132 nucleotides long. Lineage: Eukaryota; Metazoa; Cnidaria; Anthozoa; Malacalcyonacea; Plexauridae. The record is from the annotation of a GenBank genome assembly.